UAAUAACAGCAUUUUGCUUUUUUUUACAAUGCAUUAUGGGAAGACUUGUUCACUUCGGGUUGCGUGGUCGAUCAACAACAAUUUGACACUGUUAUUUAACAGUACUAUACCCUAUUUUCAUCCAAUGAGCACAAGGCGCCAGUUUGGAAUAUCAGAUUGAGGUAGGUUUGCAACGAUUUAUUAUUUUAUUAUCUUUAAAUGACCUAUUACUUUAAAAUAUAACAUCUUAAACUUCUAAUAAAGCUUCUGUGAUUUAAAUCAGAUGCCUCAAUUAAAUUAUGUGUUUUAACUAACGUUAUAGGCAAAUAAUUGGUCAACCGAUCCCAGACUGCCAUCAUACAGCCAUCUUUAUUACACAACACAGAUGUCUGCCACUCCUGCUGACCUCGAAAAGAUGGGGAACCUGCCUGUGAGUCCUCGUUUGAUCCUGCUUGGUGUUAAUCCGGGCCAAUGGAUGAAACAAUGGAUGAUCAGCCUCGAAGGCCGAAUAAUCUGCGAGGGUGUGCAGCCAACCUUUAUCUCUGGACUUGCUGCAUUGUUCUCUUCGUAUUACAUUUUUAAUUUGCAGUACCAAGAGGAAGCAGCAUCCACACUAGAAUUCCUUCAAAGGUAACAAGUUUGGACUUAUUUUAUUUAUUUCUAAUUAAUAUGUUAGUAUUAGUAUGGUGACAAUAGAAUCCUCAAGCCAUCCUUAC
This is a long non-coding RNA of Carassius auratus (goldfish), 695 nucleotides long. RefSeq lists it as uncharacterized. NCBI's taxonomy places the organism in Eukaryota, Metazoa, Chordata, Actinopteri, Cypriniformes, Cyprinidae. The record is from RefSeq and is a predicted model, not a curated record. The transcript has 3 exons.